AACGAACGCUGGCGGCAUGCCUAACACAUGCAAGUCGAACGAGACCUUCGGGUCUAGUGGCGCACGGGUGCGUAACGCGUGGGAACCUGCCCUUAGGUUCGGAAUACCUCCCCGAAAGGGGUGCUAAUACCGGAUAAUGUCUUCGGACCAAAGAUUUAUCGCCUUUGGCUGGGCCCGCGUUGGAUUAGCUAGUUGGUAGGGUAAAAGCCUGCCAAGGCGACGAUCCAUGGCUGGUCGGUGAGGAUGACCUGCCACACUGGGGCUGCGACACGGCCUAGACUCCUACGCAAGGGAGGAGUGGGGAAUAUUGGACGAGGGGCGAAGGUCUGAUCAAGCCAUGCCGGGUAAGUGGUGAAGGCCUUAGGGUUGUAAAGCUGUUUUACCCGGGAUGAUAAUGACAGUACCGGGAGAAUAAGCUCCGGCUAACUCCGUG
This 433-nucleotide ribosomal RNA is filed under the name uncultured bacterium. RNAcentral describes it as "partial 16S ribosomal RNA". It matches the Rfam family "Bacterial small subunit ribosomal RNA", at positions 29 to 507 of the family's 1533-position model. The record is from RNAcentral.